GACGAACGCUGGCGGCGUGCCUAAUACAUGCAAGUAGAACGCUGAAGGAGGAGCUUGCUUCUCUGGAUGAGUUGCGAACGGGUGAGUAACGCGUAGGUAACCUGCCUGGUAGCGGGGAAUAACUAUUGGAAACGAUAGCUAAUACCGCAUAAGAGUAGAUGUUGCAUGACAUUUGCUUAAAAGGUGCAAUUGCAUCACUACCAGAUGGACCUGCGUUGUAUUAGCUAGUUGGUGGGGUAACGGCUUACCAAGGCGACGAUACAUAGCCGACCUGAGAGGGUGAUCGGCCACACUGGGACUGAGACACGGCCCAGACUCCUACGGGAGGCAGCAGUAGGGAAUCUUCGGCAAUGGACGGAAGUCUGACCGAGCAACGCCGCGUGAGUGAAGAAGGUUGUCGGAUCGUAAAGCUCUGUUGUAAGAGAAGAACGAGUGUGAGAGUGGAAAGUUCACACUGUGACGGUAUCUUACCAGAAAGGGACGGCUAACUACGUG
This 495-nucleotide ribosomal RNA is filed under the name uncultured bacterium. RNAcentral's name for it is "partial 16S ribosomal RNA". It matches the Rfam family "Bacterial small subunit ribosomal RNA", at positions 28 to 507 of the family's 1533-position model. The record is from RNAcentral.